UACGAAGGGGGCUAGCGUUGCUCGGAAUUACUGGGCGUAAAGCGCACGUAGGCGGCUUCUUAAGUCGGUGGUGAAAUCCUGGAGCUCAACUCCAGAACUGCCUUCGAUACUGGGAGCUCGAGUCCGGGAGAGGUGAGUGGAACUGCGAGUGUAGAGGUGAAAUUCGUAGAUAUUCGCAAGAACACCAGUGGCGAAGGCGGCUCACUGGCCCGGUACUGACGCUGAGGUGCGAAAGCGUGGGGAGCAA
RNAcentral lists this ribosomal RNA (247 nucleotides) under uncultured bacterium. Its description in RNAcentral is "partial 16S ribosomal RNA". It matches the Rfam family "Bacterial small subunit ribosomal RNA", at positions 524 to 771 of the family's 1533-position model. The record is from RNAcentral.